RNAcentral lists this non-coding RNA (22 nucleotides) under Arabidopsis thaliana (thale cress). The record is from RNAcentral. Lineage: Eukaryota; Viridiplantae; Streptophyta; Magnoliopsida; Brassicales; Brassicaceae.
UCCUGAGGCGCCUAAAGAUUAU